RNAcentral lists this ribosomal RNA (747 nucleotides) under uncultured bacterium. RNAcentral describes it as "bacterial SSU rRNA". It matches the Rfam family "Bacterial small subunit ribosomal RNA", at positions 33 to 775 of the family's 1533-position model. The record is from RNAcentral.
ACGCUGGCGGCAGGCCUAACACAUGCAAGUCGAGCGGUAGAGAGAAGCUUGCUUCUCUUGAGAGCGGCGGACGGGUGAGUAAUGCCUAGGAAUCUGCCUGGUAGUGGGGGAUAACGUUCGGAAACGGACGCUAAUACCGCAUACGUCCUACGGGAGAAAGCAGGGGACCUUCGGGCCUUGCGCUAUCAGAUGAGCCUAGGUCGGAUUAGCUAGUUGGUGAGGUAAUGGCUCACCAAGGCGACGAUCCGUAACUGGUCUGAGAGGAUGAUCAGUCACACUGGAACUGAGACACGGUCCAGACUCCUACGGGAGGCAGCAGUGGGGAAUAUUGGACAAUGGGCGAAAGCCUGAUCCAGCCAUGCCGCGUGUGUGAAGAAGGUCUUCGGAUUGUAAAGUACUUUAAGUUGGGAGGAAGGGCAGUUACCUAAUACGUGAUUGUUUUGACGUUACCGACAGAAUAAGCACCGGCUAACUCUGUGCCAGCAGCCGCGGUAAUACAGAGGGUGCAAGCGUUAAUCGGAAUUACUGGGCGUAAAGCGCGCGUAGGUGGUUUGUUAAGUUGGAUGUGAAAUCCCCGGGCUCAACCUGGGAACUGCAUUCAAAACUGACUGACUAGAGUGUGGUAGAGGGUGGUGGAAUUUCCUGUGUAGCGGUGAAAUGCGUAGAUAUAGGAAGGAACACCAGUGGCGAAGGCGACCACCUGGACCAACACUGACACUGAGGUGCGAAAGCGUGGGGAGCAAACAG